GGGUGAGUAAUAUAUCGGAACGUGCCCAGUCGUGGGGGAUAACGCAGCGAAAGCUGUGCUAAUACCGCAUACGAUCUCUGGAUGAAAGCGGGGGACUCGCAAGGGCCUCGCGCGAUUGGAGCGGCCGAUAUCAGAUUAGCUAGUUGGUGGGGUAAAAGCCCACCAAGGCGACGAUCUGUAGCUGGUCUGAGAGGACGACCAGCCACACUGGAACUGAGACACGGUCCAGACUCCUACGGGAGGCAGCAGUGGGGAAUUUUGGACAAUGGGCGCAAGCCUGAUCCAGCAAUGCCGCGUGCAGGAUGAAGGCCUUCGGGUUGUAAACUGCUUUUGUACGGAACGAAAAGGUCUGCCUUAAUACGGUGGGCUCAUGACGGUACCGUAAGAAUAAGCACCGGCUAACUACGUGCCAGCAGCCGCGGUAAUACGUAGGGUGCGAGCGUUAAUCGGAAUUACUGGGCGUAAAGCGUGCGCAGGCGGUUAUAUAAGACAGAUGUGAAAUCCCCGGGCUCAACCUGGGACCUGCAUUUGUGACUGUAUAGCUAGAGUACGGUAGAGGGGGAUGGAAUUCC
This 572-nucleotide ribosomal RNA is filed under the name uncultured bacterium. RNAcentral's name for it is "bacterial SSU rRNA". It matches the Rfam family "Bacterial small subunit ribosomal RNA", at positions 104 to 670 of the family's 1533-position model. The record is from RNAcentral.